CAUGUCUAAGUAUAAGCAAUUAUACCGCGAAACUGCGAAUGGCUCAUUAUAUAAGUUAUCGUUUAUUUGAUAGCACAUUUACCUACUUGGAUAACCGUGGUAAUUCUAGAGCUAAUACAUGCUAAAAAUCCCGACUUCGGAAGGGAUGUAUUUAUUAGAUUAAAAGCCAACGCCCUUCGGGGCUUCUUGGUGAUUCAUGAUAACUGGUCGAAUCGCAUGGCCUUGCGCCGGCGAUGGUUCAUUCAAAUUUCUUCCCUAUCAACUUUCGAUGCGAAGGUCUUGUCUUCGCAUGGUUGCAACGGGUAACGGAGGGUUAGGGCUCGACCCCGGAGAAGGAGCCUGAGAAACGGCUACUACAUCCAAGGAAGGCAGCAGGCGCGCAAAUUACCCAAUCCCGACACGGGGAGGUAGUGACAAUAAAUACUGAUACAGGGCUCUUUUGGGUCUUGUAAUCGGAAUGAGUACAAUUUAAAUCCCUUAACGAGGAACAAU
This 492-nucleotide ribosomal RNA is filed under the name Lophotrichus indicus. RNAcentral describes it as "SSU rRNA". It matches the Rfam family "Eukaryotic small subunit ribosomal RNA", at positions 54 to 548 of the family's 1831-position model. Lineage: Eukaryota; Fungi; Ascomycota; Sordariomycetes; Microascales; Microascaceae. The record is from RNAcentral.